CAUCGAAAAGAGAGACAUCAGGCCACCUCCAGUUCCCAACCCAGGAGAGACACCAGCAGCCCCAAUUGUGAUGAAAUUGUGUACUCUGUUGUUCAAGCAAAGAGGAAAGAAGGAGGCUACGUCAGGACAAGAAGAGAGCCAGUAAGUUUUCAUUGUUUCAGAGACCUUUACAAGACAAGGAGGGUGCCAGUCAGCAAAGAUCUGAAAGGAACACUGCCCUUAUCUUUGACCUUAUCCCCUGGAGGCUAUGGCAAUGCAAUUGUACAUCUAAAUACUUCUUCGAUGUGAUGAGGGUUUCUGCCUCUCCCACUUUUACAGGCAGCGAGUUCCAGAUU
Long non-coding RNA from Rhincodon typus (whale shark), 335 nucleotides. RefSeq lists it as uncharacterized. The record is from RefSeq and is a predicted model, not a curated record. Lineage: Eukaryota; Metazoa; Chordata; Chondrichthyes; Orectolobiformes; Rhincodontidae. The transcript is spliced from 3 exons.